CUCAGGUGUUGUUCCACCCAGGUUCCUUUAGGUGUGGGUUUCCGCCCACCUCCCCAGGGGAAUUUUGGGAGGGUAAAUAACCGGUUCUGUCUUCAUUCCUGUGAACCUUUUACCUGUUUUCCAGAGUUCAGCCCUGGACCAGACUCAUUGUCCUCCCUGAUGACUUGACGUCUCUGUCUGUCACCGAGACGCAGAUACAAAGACGACGCACAAUGAGACGCAGCACUGCCUCCGGUGGCCGCCUGGCAUCCUGACAGGGUCUCUUUCAAAGGUUACAUGUCAAUCCCAUCUGACAGCCGUGAUAAAGACUUUGGGAUCUGGGCAGGAAUCAAUGUUGUGAAACGGCACCAAGUUAUGCAAAACCGAGCAAUUAUUACAACUUGUUUCCUUGUUUUAAUGUUGUGACCUGACAGCAAAUGUACUGUUACUGAGCAUUACUUAUAAACACUGAAAAAGUACAGAGAGAGGAUGUUUUUUUUCUAAACUCUGGUGUGUUUCUGGGAGGUUAAAGUGUUAUUUUCCCUCAGUUUCAAUGGGAUACAGUAAAGUUCAUAUCUAGUCUGAACCUCUAAGUGUCCCCAAUGUGCCUUUCAAUGGGAAUAUUUGGAUUUGUUGGGUUUUCCAUGUACAAUUUUAUCGAAUAUGAACCAUUAUUGUAAAUAUACUAAAAUUUGGAAGGUUAAUCUUCUUCCUUUUUUUAGUUUGAAAAAGUUUUCAUAAAACAUUAGUCCUUUUACAUAGUCUCAGUAUUGCUGCAAGUGGAUUUACAUUCCGUACGACUAAAAUAAAAUAUACCGCAGUAUGUUGAUAA
This is a long non-coding RNA of Amphiprion ocellaris (clown anemonefish), 811 nucleotides long. RefSeq lists it as uncharacterized. The transcript is spliced from 2 exons. NCBI's taxonomy places the organism in Eukaryota, Metazoa, Chordata, Actinopteri, Pomacentridae. The record is from RefSeq and is a predicted model, not a curated record.